RNAcentral lists this small RNA (125 nucleotides) under Serratia marcescens. RNAcentral's name for it is "RtT sRNA". It matches the Rfam family "RtT RNA". Rfam says of the family: This family represents a bacterial cis-regulatory element known as RtT RNA. The record is from RNAcentral. Lineage: Bacteria; Pseudomonadati; Pseudomonadota; Gammaproteobacteria; Enterobacterales; Yersiniaceae.
UGGCCCACUGAGUCGUGCGGGUGAGAUCCUGCGUUCAGGUUCGAGCAUCGCGCAGCGAUACGACAAUGCGCAGCGUUGCCCGCAGGGUGAGGCCACAGGCCGAAUCAAUCCUGCACGACCCACCA